Molecule: non-coding RNA, 864 nt
Organism: Ciona intestinalis (vase tunicate)
Lineage: Eukaryota; Metazoa; Chordata; Ascidiacea; Phlebobranchia; Cionidae
Source: RefSeq, a predicted model, not a curated record
UCUUCGCUACUGUAAUCGAAGAGACAAAUAAAAGUUAUUAUUAUAUUUUGAUUCAAAUAGAAUCUACUAAAGAUAGAAGUAUGUUCAUACAGAACCUGUGGUUGUGAUUGGAGUUGUAUGGAUGCAUUUCUUCCCACUUGAAGCCAUGGAGUAAAUUCCUACUAUAGCUACUGCCAGCACAAGUACAAACACCACACAGGUCUUUUUGCUGAAGCCAUAACUUUUAUUUAGUCUACCAAAGCUGUUCUGGUAAUUUCUACUUCGAGAACCAAGAUUUUGCAACUUAUUCAGAGUACAGUAUGCAUCUCCAUAGGACUUUACUCAAGAAAUAUAAACACAAACAAAAUAUGGGAUUCAGGUGCCAAUGGGAUCCAAUCUUACCCCACAGUAUACUUACCCACAAAGGACUUAUUACUCAUAGAAGGACUUCAAAAAGUUGUUUGAAAUAUAGUUAUCAGAAAGUGGACAGGUAAGUUUCACUAUUUAUAUACACUGGGGAUUUAUGAAACCUUGUUUCAGUAGCACUAUGUAAAAUCUCAUGCACUUAAACCAAUCCGGCAUAGUGGUUGGAGCAAUUGCCUUUGGACCCAAUGGUAAUGGAUAGAUGGAAUCUUGUAGUAGCAAAAGUCCUACUUGCAUAAACAGAGUGGAUUAUUGCACACAUAACUAUAGGUAGAUGAUUUUAUUUUUUCUGAAAGGAUGACAACUUGGAAAACCACAUUACUGUUAAGUUUUUUCUACUAGCAAACGUACAUCAACACAAUUAAGUAUGGAAUACAAUGUCAUGUUCUUAUAGUUAUAACUAUGUAUAUAUAACAUAUUACUAUGUAUAUAUAAAAAGUAUGGAAUACAAUGUCAUGUUCU